GGCAAGGACUCCUGCCAGGGUGACUCUGGUGGUCCCAUGGUCACUGCUGGGACAGUAGCCAGAGGUUCAUGGUACAGAUCGGUGUAGUGUCUUGGGGCUACGGUUGUGCUGAUGCCGAUUACCCAGGAGUCUACGCCAGGUCACAAACUACCUGACCUGGAUUGAGGCCAAGAUUGCUGGGUCGACCACCUGCCUACCACCUGCUGCCAGAGAAUAGGCGUCAAUUUCACCUCCUUUGGGGCCAACAUAGACUGGGGUGAACUCCACCCUCCCUGACUUUAGCACUUUAUUAACCCUUAGUCAUUGAAGUAACACCAUUAUAUGUUUCUGUUGCUCGUUUUCGCCAUGCAGAACUAUAACAUGUAGUUAAUAACUUCCUUUAAAAUAAAUAAAGAUGAAGUGCA
Molecule: long non-coding RNA, 404 nt
Organism: Homarus americanus (American lobster)
Lineage: Eukaryota; Metazoa; Arthropoda; Malacostraca; Decapoda; Nephropidae
Exons: 3
Source: RefSeq, a predicted model, not a curated record